GAUGAACGCUGGCGGCGUGCUUAACACAUGCAAGUCGAACGGAAAGGCCCAAGCUUGCUUGGGUACUCGAGUGGCGAACGGGUGAGUAACACGUGGGUGAUCUGCCCUGCACUUCGGGAUAAGCCUGGGAAACUGGGUCUAAUACCGGAUAGGACGAUGGUUUGGAUGCCAUUGUGGAAAGUUUUUUCGGUGUGGGAUGAGCUCGCGGCCUAUCAGCUUGUUGGUGGGGUAAUGGCCUACCAAGGCGUCGACGGGUAGCCGGCCUGAGAGGGUGUACGGCCACAUUGGGACUGAGAUACGGCCCAGACUCCUACGGGGGGCAGCAGUGGGGAAUAUUGCACAAUGGGCGCAAGCCUGAUGCAGCGACGCCGCGUGGGGGAUGACGGCCUUCGGGUUGUAAACUCCUUUCGCUAGGGACGAAGCGUUUUUGUGACGGUAACUGGAGAAGAAGCACCGGCUAACUACGUG
RNAcentral lists this ribosomal RNA (468 nucleotides) under uncultured bacterium. RNAcentral's name for it is "partial 16S ribosomal RNA". It matches the Rfam family "Bacterial small subunit ribosomal RNA", at positions 28 to 507 of the family's 1533-position model. The record is from RNAcentral.